RNAcentral lists this long non-coding RNA (7132 nucleotides) under Brassica rapa (field mustard). RNAcentral's name for it is "long non-coding RNA (BRAP_LNC007263)". The record is from RNAcentral. Lineage: Eukaryota; Viridiplantae; Streptophyta; Magnoliopsida; Brassicales; Brassicaceae.
UUGACUCGAGGAACAUGCAGUAGAGGAACAGAGCAUCGAAGAGGAAGAAAUCAAAGCGUGGUAGCAAUCUGAAAGGGUGUUGGGGAUUGCAUGCAGCAUCGGAAGCUAUGGAAUGCAGAUGCUAAACAUGGUAAUCGAGAAAGACAAGGUUUUUAUAGAAACGCUUGCGAAGAAGAUACUGAAAGCUACGAUCUUUGGGAAAGGGUAGAACGAGUUUGAGCUUGGUAAGGAUCAGAUCUAAGCAAGGGAGAUUCGGGUUUUUCUGGAAAGAAGGAUGAAACUAUAUGAUAAGUUCAGAGAGAUUUACAAAGCGGACCUAGACUCUGCGUCUGUGUGAGACUCUCUCUCUCUCACUCUCUCUUGUUAUGUUCUCUUUUGUUUCGCGCAGGAUGAGAGAAAAAGGAGAAGAGAGAAAAAGGAGAAGAGAGAACCUUUUGAUUGAGAAAGUGACACUCUGAUACUGUGGCAAAUCCGCCCUCUCUGGGAACUUUCUUUUGCUUUUUUAGAGUGCCCCUCGGUAGAUAAUUAAGUUAAUAACGAUGGCCUUAAUAAGAAAGAGAGUUCUUUUUUAUUUUAUUUUUAGAGUAACUGUAAUUAGUGGCUAGUAAUAAGAAGGUGGAUAUCGAGUUUAUUCCAUCGGACUAAUCACUGCUACAUGUGCUCCACGAGACUUCAAUCAAUUCGGUUUUUAAUAGUAGUACUAGAUUUAGUUUAGAUUUUCAAAUCCAUUAAAAUACAACAACCAAUAACUCUUACACUAUAAACUUAAACUAUGUGUAUAAGUUUAUAGUGAAUUUUUACUAUAACUAUCAUAAAUGAAUACAGCCGAAAAUAACCCCAUCAUUUAUGUUUAAAGAUAUUUUUUGCAGACACUUAUUUUAUUUUAUUUAUUAUUAUAACUAAAGUAGAAUGGAAAUUUAAACUAUAAAAAGUAAAAUAUAUAUAAAUCAAAUUAACCAUAUAAUCUAUUAAAAAUAAUAAAAUUAAAAUAGUGGAAGUUCGGGUUAUAUUCAACUGAGGGUAAAAAAUAUAUUUCUAAAUGUUCACUAAAAUUUAAAUAGUUUCUGCUUAGCAAUAAUAUAAACUGUUAAUAUUUUUUUUUUUAAAUUAUCUUUCCAGUAAAAGAAAAAAAAGCUAUCCUUGUCCUAUAUAUAUUUGCAUCUUUCUCUUUGUAAGCGGCGACUUAGCUCUCUUUACGUUUUCUCGAACAUUAUUUAUCAAUCCCACUUUCUCGAGAAUCUGCGAGCAUUCCAAUCUGAGAAUCACACAAACAUAUAGAAUCAUAUAUGAUUGCUUCUUUGGCUACUCUUGAAAAUUCACAAUAAAACCAGUUUGGUAUAUGAGAAUAUAUAGAAUGUACUUGUUGACACAUACUGAGGAGCCGCAUAGCCAAAUAUACCUAUGACUCUUGUAAUAACAUAGCUUGUUUCUCCCUUUGGACAGUCUCUUGCUAAACCAAAGUCUGAUAGUUUUCUAUUGUAGUCAUAGAUUGUCAUAAAGAACCACGUCAAUACCAUUCUAAGUUCAUUAAGACAGCACUGAGACUUCGGAAAGAGGGUUAAUACCGAGUAUAUCAAGAUCUUAGAAGGUGUAUAUGACUUAAACAAGGUCGUAUGAAGAAAUGCAAGCUCUUUAGCUGCAUCAAGGCAACCUUAACACGUGUUAAGAAUCAAAAUAAGGGAAAAAAAAACUUUUAUAUACAGUUGAGAACUUCCUCAAAUUUCACAUGUGGUCCCUUUCUGCAUCUAUUAUAUAUUUCUGAUUCUGGCUCUUUAUGCAAAAUUUAAUGGAUUAACUUCAAGGCUUCAAGCAGUGGGUCAUUUACCUCGAGGAAGAACGGUUCUUCAGUACGAUCCCGGCGUCGCAUGGAGCAGUCAUGAGAUCCUGUAACGAAAGUCACCACGAUUGCUGACAGCGAAGCACCAAAUCUCUACGUGAUGUUUUUAACUACACAUAAUCUGCUUGAACAUAAUUAAAACAUAAGAACAAACAAUCGCCUGAUAGUUUCAAUAAAUUUUGAUUUAUGAACUUACUUGUGAACAAACGAUCCUCAAGACUCCUUAUGCAUAAACUCGUACAAAAGAAGCAGUUGUUCAUCUUCCAAGCAAUAACCAAUCAGUUUAAAUAAGUUAGGGUGACUUAACUGCACCAAGUAGUUGAUCUCUACCAAAUGUCACAAACAGGUCAGAGAAUCAAACCAUGGAAACUUGAGAUUGGAGUGACAUAAUAGUAAAGACAAUGUUGUGUGUACUAGACAUUAUCAGUGAUCUUGAAAUCCAUCAGGGUUAAACACUUGGACAGGAACUGCAAUACCUGUAAUGGAUCUAGUUGGAGUUAGAGUAGUCUCAUCGAUCGAACCUCUAGAGCAUAACAUAGUUUGAUCUGAAGUUUAUGGUUGGAAGUCUGAGUUCGUUGAAAGCUUUUGAAGAUCGCUUUCCUAAGUAUUUCUUCUUUUUCUUAUGAGAUGCCGAUGAUGAUGAUUGAACACUCGAAAGAUGAAGGUCUUUACUGCUCUUAUCUGCAGACACAUACACAAAGGGUUGACUGAAGUCAGAACUAAGGACAACUGAAAAAGGUGGAAACUUUUUUACUUGGAUCACAUGAAGAUUCUCACAGAGUUCAUUUCUUUUCUCAGAAUUUAAUAUUUGCAGAGAGACACUUGAAAUUAAAAAUCUCAAUAAUUUAUGGGAAAUUCUACAAUGAAAAUUAAAAAGGAGAGAACGUACGCUCAACACGAAAUCUGAGGCAAGAACCCAUUAAUAGAGAGUGGAAGUAAACGAAGACUACAUGCUUAAAGGGAGAAGCUUUCCCGCAUCUGACAAACUCCGACUACAAUGCCCGACUUUCAAGUGAGCGAGGAGGAUAACAGACUUUGCCAUUCUAAUCUGCGGAGGAGAGAGCAACAGCAGAUUUUUGCUUCUUCGGAAUGGCAGAUGAAACAGCACUCUUGCCGUUAGGUUUCGCCGCAAUCGCCGAGGCAGCAGUGGACUUCCCGUGUGGCUUCAUAGUCGCGGAGGAAGCGAAUGUCUUUUCGUUGGUCUUCUGAUCGCUGGAGACUGAAGAGUUGCCUUUGGAGAUAGUUAUCUGAGAGAAUCUUAUGGAUUUUAAUGGAAACAUAAACUAUGAAAAGAGAUUUAUAAAUAUAGAAACGAAGAAGAAGGUGAAAGGAAUCCAUUGAUUAAAGUUCAAUAAAAAGGAUUGAUUAGACCAGGUAGUGGUGAAACGGAUCUGGAAAAGAGUAAUGAAAGAGGUAAAAGGGGAAAGGCAAGAGAAUAAGAAGUUACGACAGUCGGUGGAGAGGAAAAAAUGAUAGGGUUACGACUUUGGAGAGAUGUUGAUAUUAAUCUGAUAGUGAUGGCUUGCACUUGAAUAUUUUAAAAAACCCACUAAACAAGACCAAUUUUAUGACCCACACACAACGCAAAGACGAUGGUGACGUGGAGUAACUAAGCUGUGGGAUUGGUUGUAAUUAGUCCUACGUGGACAUCUUAGAAUGCUCUUGACGUUUUCUUUUAUAGAGUCUGAGACGGUUAUACAAGACGCGUUUGCGCAGUGCAUUGGUGGUUUUCUCAGCGUGGUGGUGCAAGAGCUGAGUGUGUUCAUCCUGUGUGGAGAAUUGGUUCGGUUAAAGCUGAAAGCUACCGGUUUGAUUCGAGUACGGGGACUAUAGGAGUUGGUGAUCUCUACGCUGAGGAAGAGAGGAACUUCUUGGUGAAUCUUGAUGUUCCCGUUGUCAACGGCGUCGUUUCGGAUCCUAUGUCGUUGCUUAAGGUUAGAUGUGUUUAUAGAGAUCCCGUGACGAAAGAGACUGUUGGUUUGAGUAGUUCUAGUGAAGUGAAGAUUCUCAGACCGGUGGUGAUGUCGGAAGGGAGUGCUGUUGUCCUCAAAACUCUCUAAAGGCACAAUCUUUUUGGAUUUUGAUCAGGCCAAGUUUUGUGUAAGAGGGAGGGAACUGUUGUAUAGGUAUUGCUCUGAACAUGGAAUCGCUCAUAGGAAGAUUGGCAAGCUUGUCGUUGCUACAGGAUCAUCUGAUAUACCGAAGCUGGAUCUGUUGAUGCAUCUUGGAACUCAGAAUGGAGUUUCGGGUUUAAGGAUGUUGGAAGGUUUUGAAGCGAUGAGGAUGGAGCCGGAGCUUCGAUGUGUUAAAGCAUUGCUGUCUCCUGAGUCUGGGAUUGUGGAUACGCAUUCCUUCAUGCUAUCUUUAGUGGUAACUAUAUCAUCUCCUCUGUGCUUUGAUAUGAUCUUUGAGUUUAUGGAGUAGGAAAAGAGUUUUGAUUCCAUUAUGUACAGGGGUAACUAACUACAGGGACAAGCAGAGAACAGUCACGCAACGUUCUCAUACAAUACAGUGGUUUUAAGCGGUCGUGUUGAAGAAGAGAAGAUGCAUUUGUUUGUUGCUGAAACUGGAUCGGUUGAGUCUCGGUGUGAGGGAGUAGUAGCUGAGCUUGAGCUGAUACCUAACCUCGUUGUUAACUCCGCGGGGUUAGGUGCUCAAGCUCUGGCAAAGAGAUUCCAUGGGUUAGGUCAUCGGUUCAUUCCUUCGUCUCACUAUGCUCGUGGAUGCUACUUUACGCUGUCCGGUGCUAAGUCUCCUCCUUUUGAUAAACUUGUGUAUCCUAUACCUGAGGAAGGAGGUCUUGGUGUUCAUGUCACUGUUGAUUUGAAUGGGCUUGUGAAGUUUGGUCCUGAUGUUGAGUGGAUUGAAUGCAGAAACGACACAUCAAGCUUCCUCAACAAGUAAUGAUUGCAUCUGUCAUGAAACUCUCCUCUCUCUUGUUCAUUUUGAAGUUGCUCAAGAUCUUCUUUAUGCUGAUUGAAUCCAGAUUUGACUAUGGUGUAAAUCCACAACGAGCUGAGAGAUUCUACCCAGAGAUCAGAAAGUACUACCCGAAGAUGGAUCGUUGGAACCUGGUUGCUCAGGCAUCCGUCCCAAGAUUACCGGACCGGGACAGAAGGCAGCAGACUUUAUCAUACAGGUAAUCUUUUGUUCUCAAAAGCACUAGACAUAUAACUCUAACACGCUUGUGUUAUUGAUAUGCAGGGAGAGGAGACUCAUGGAGUUCCUGGUCUUGUGACUCUCUUUGGCAUCGAGUCGCCUGGUUUGACUUGAAGCUUGGCUAUUGCAGAACAUUUAGCCAACAAGUUCUUAUGAUGAAAGUGUAAGCUAAUGUCUACAUUUGAGAACAAAGCUGGCCCAUAAGUAUAAGGCUUGGCAAAUUCAAACAGUUUUCCUCUCUGUGAUUCAUUUUUCAGACUGUCAACAAAGUGAUAUUUUCAAUUCUUAUACUCCAGAAAAAGAUUGUUGUUGCAACUAAAAUAACUAAGAAUGUUCUUAAGAAACUUAACAGAAUUGCUCCAAGUCAAGAAUGUACAAAGAAACAAACUGUUUUCCUCUCUUUUUUUUUUAUAAGCAAACCGACGCAGAUGCAGAAAAAAAAAAGUUUUUGAGAUCAGAAAGAAGCUGAGCUUGUCCUCCUCAGCUGCCUCUUGGGAUCAAGUGGUGGUGGUGCACUUGGGAGGAUCUUCUCUACCUCCUGCAAAGUAAAUAGAAAACAAACAAUGUAACGUAAACUAUCAAUUACAAGUUUGUCAUGAGUAAAAGAAAGAGUGUUGUAAUGUAUAUUGUAAUGAGCCAAACGACUCUUACAAGAAGCAAACAAACAACAAAGACUUGUUCUCUACUGUCUACUAUGCUUGUGCCCAAUUCCAUACUUAACUAAAUAUCCUAUCAUCUACCAUUCCCUCUAAUUCGAAUCCAAAAGUUAAUUACAUGUUCAAUUUUAACACCAAUCACAAUCAAUGCAUGUAUAAACCAUAAGGGCCAAGGCUACAAAACAUUACCUUUUGCCUCCUGAGUCUUUCGUUUUCUUCUUCUAACCGUGAAACUUUGAUUUCUAGCUCAUGAGUGUAAGCCUGCUCAUCAGCACCCAGUAUAAGAUUUGAGUAGACUAAUAACAACACCACAUUUUGCAAUUACAGAAAGAUUGUUGUCACCUGUUUCCUAGCUCGAGAACGAGCUGCAGACUCUCUGUUCUUAAUCAUCCUCUUCUGUUUCCUCUCUACAGUCUUCUCCACAACUUCUCCUGAAGCUACCCUCUUCCUCCCUGGAGUUUGCGUAUCUGAUAAACCACCCAUCAAAGAAGACUGAGACACCAUUGCUUGCAUGUCUGCAACCGGAUACGGCAUGAAUGAUUGAGGCUGUGGCAUUGACGGCAGCUGAUGAUACUGAACCCAUGGGGCAACCUGAGGUAUGUUUUGCUCCAUACCAGCACUACCAUUCCCAUGGUUCGAACCAGGAACUGUCUCGGUCACCACUCCUGCUUUCAAUAACAAGUCCUCAAGCGUCAUUUCACCUAAGGUAGGCUGCUUAUCUCUCCUCUCAUGACCACUACCACCUCCAUUCUUGUCCUGCUGAAUGUCUUUCCAGACCUCUUCAACUGUCUUUUUGCUUAGAUCCCGCGGUAAAGUCAAACUCCCCUGACGAGAGAGACCUUCAUUGACAGCCAUGGACGGUGGCUGAUUAGUUUCAACAGAACAAACACUCUUGAGAAGCUCGUCAAGAUUCAUGCUUCCAAGCGCUUUACCAGAACUCCCCAAGUGGGUUUGGACCUCGUCGAGUGUUAAGCUAUAGAGAGAGCCUUGCCUAUUCAAAGACUGAUGAGAUCUAGGUUCCCUCUGAGAAUCCAUACCGCUUUUAAAAUAAAAACACAACACAGAUGGAUAGAUAAAACACGAUCCUGACCCCACAACAAAUCAGAAAACCCUAAUCUCAGCAGCAAACGAAGAAGAGUUUCACCAAAUUGAGGCAAAAGGUAACACCUUUUUCCCUAAGGUUGGUUGACUCGAGGAACAUGCAGUAGAGGAACAGAGCAUCGAAGAGGAAGAAAUCAAAGCGUGGUAGCAAUCUGAAAGGGUGUUGGGGAUUGCAUGCAGCAUCGGAAGCUAUGGAAUGCAGAUGCUAAACAUGGUAAUCGAGAAAGACAAGGUUUUUAUAGAAACGCUUGCGAAGAAGAUACUGAAAGCUACAAUCUUUGGAAAAGGGUAGAACGAAUUUGAGCUUGGAAAGGAUCAGAUCUAAGCAAGGGAGAUUCGGGUUUUUCUGGAAAGAAGGAUGAAACUAUAUGAUAAGUUC